UAGCGGAGCGUGUGGUUUAAUUCGACGAUACGCGAAGAACCUUACCUGGGUUUGACAUCAAGGUAGUAGCAAGGUGAAAGCUGCGCGACCCUUCGGGGAGCCUUGACAGGUGCUGCAUGGCUGUCGUCAGCUCGUGCCGUGGGAUGUUGGGUUAAGUCCCGCAACGAGCGCAACCCUCGUCGUUAGUUACAAGUGUCUAACGAGACUGCUGGUUUCAAACCGGAGGAAGGUGGGGAUGACGUCAAGUCAGCAUGGUCUUUAUAUCCAGGGCUACACACACGCUACAAUGGCCGGUACAAUUGGUUGCCACACCGCAAGGUGGAGCUAAUCCUCAAAGCCGGUCUCAGUUCAGAUUGUCGUCUGCAACUCGACGGCAUGAAGGCGGAGUUGCUAGUAACCGCAUAA
This 405-nucleotide ribosomal RNA is filed under the name uncultured bacterium. RNAcentral's name for it is "bacterial SSU rRNA". It matches the Rfam family "Bacterial small subunit ribosomal RNA", at positions 930 to 1349 of the family's 1533-position model. The record is from RNAcentral.